CAAGGGGCCAACGGCCGGGGGGUUACCGGUCCCCUGUAAGCGCAAACCCGGUUAUGGCGCGGCCGCAGCCCGAGGGCGGUUCAGUCUUGCGACCAGGCCCUGGUUCCAGACCAUGAAGUCCCGUCUCUCAGGGCUGGUAGCAUGCCGAACCUGGUCAGGCCCGGAAGGUGAAUAGAGGAAUGCUCGUUCAUCCGAAGGAGCAGCCAUAAGGCAUGCUAUCAGUGCUUGAGAGUUCUCGGGAUGGAGAAAGGAAUCAGGAUAAACCUGGUUGCAAGACUGUCCCCACCGAGGGCGUGCCCCUUG
Molecule: signal recognition particle RNA, 303 nt
Filed under: Candidatus Aenigmatarchaeota archaeon
Lineage: Archaea; Nanobdellati; Candidatus Aenigmatarchaeota
Description: signal recognition particle sRNA
Rfam family: Archaeal signal recognition particle RNA
Source: RNAcentral